UACGUAGGGGGCUAGCGUUGUCCGGAAUCAUUGGGCGUAAAGCGCGUGUAGGCGGCUCGGUAAGUCCGCUGUGAAAGUCGGGGGCUCAACCCUCGAAUGCCGGUGGAUACUGUCGAGCUCGAGUACGGAAGAGGCGAGUGGAAUUCCUGGUGUAGCGGUGAAAUGCGCAGAUAUCAGGAGGAACACCAAUAGCGAAGGCAGCUCGCUGGGACGUCACUGACGCUGAGACGCGAAAGCGUGGGGAGCAAACAGG
Molecule: unclassified non-coding RNA, 253 nt
Filed under: uncultured Solirubrobacteraceae bacterium
Lineage: Bacteria; Bacillati; Actinomycetota; Thermoleophilia; Solirubrobacterales; Solirubrobacteraceae
Description: contains 16S-23S intergenic spacer region
Rfam family: Bacterial small subunit ribosomal RNA
Source: RNAcentral